Molecule: ribosomal RNA, 498 nt
Filed under: uncultured bacterium
Lineage: Bacteria
Description: partial 16S ribosomal RNA
Rfam family: Bacterial small subunit ribosomal RNA
Source: RNAcentral
AUUGAACGCUGGCGGCAUGCCUUACACAUGCAAGUCGAACGGUAACAGGUCUUCGGAUGCUGACGAGUGGCGAACGGGUGGGUAAUACAUCGGAACGUGCCUAGUAGUGGGGGAUAACUACUCGAAAGAGUGGCUAAUACCGCAUGAGAUCUACGGAUGAAAGCAGGGGAUCGCAAGACCCUGUGCUACUAGAGCGGCCGAUGGCAGAUAAGGUAGUUGGUGGGAUAAAAGCUUACCAAGCCGACGAUCUGUAGCUGGUCUGAGAGGACGAUCAGCCACACUGGGACUGAGACACGGCCCAGACUCCUACGGGAGGCAGCAGUGGGGAAUUUUGGACAAUGGGCGAAAGCCUGAUCCAGCAAUGCCGCGUGCAGGAUGAAGGCCUUCGGGUUGUAAACUGCUUUUGUACGGAACGAAAAGCCCCGGGUUAAUACCCUGGGGUCAUGACGGUACCGUAAGAAUAAGCACCGGCUAACUACGUGCCAGCCGCCGCGGUAA